CGCGCGCGCCUGCGGCCGUUGGGGAGGGGGGGGGACGGUGGGCGCGCCUGGCGCGGUCGCCGUUCGGACUUCUCCUCCCUCCCAUCAGAGCCCCAGUUAGUCCGCGUCCUGGGGCCGCCCAGCCCCGCCCACGCGCCAGCUUACCUGCGCGGCUGAGCGGGAGAGGAACAAGCUCUGCUCCACGGCACGGCAAAAGAAGCACGAGUUCUCCGUGGAUAUGACCUGUGAAGGCUGCUCUAACGCAGUCACUCGAGUCCUCAACAAGCUAGGAGGAGUUCAAUUUGACAUUGACCUGCCCAACAAAAAGGUCUGCAUCAACUCUGAGCACAGCGUGGAC
Molecule: long non-coding RNA, 337 nt
Organism: Budorcas taxicolor (takin)
Lineage: Eukaryota; Metazoa; Chordata; Mammalia; Artiodactyla; Bovidae
Exons: 3
Source: RefSeq, a predicted model, not a curated record